Epicoccum nigrum is the source of this 117-nucleotide non-coding RNA. The record is from the annotation of a GenBank genome assembly. NCBI's taxonomy places the organism in Eukaryota, Fungi, Ascomycota, Dothideomycetes, Pleosporales, Didymellaceae.
GACACGAUGGCCGAGUGGUCUAAGGCGGUAGAUUUAAGCCUCCCCUUCCUUCUUUGGAUGCGGGUUCUCAAAUCUCUACUACAGAAAUGUGCGUGGGUUCGAACCCCACUCGUGUCA